GACGAACGCUGGCGGCGUGCUUAACACAUGCAAGUCGAGCGGUAAGGCCCUUUCGGGGGUACACGAGCGGCGAACGGGUGAGUAACACGUGGGUGACCUGCCCUCAGCUCUGGGAUAAGCCUGGGAAACUGGGUCUAAUACUGGAUAUGACUCCACGGUGCAUGUCGUGGGGUGGAAAGCCUUGUGCGGCUGAGGAUGGGCCCGCGGCCUAUCAGCUUGUUGGUGGGGUGANGGCCUACCAAGGCGACGACGGGUAGCCGGCCUGAGAGGGCGACCGGCCACACUGGGGCUGAGACACGGCCCAGACUCCUACGGGAGGCAGCAGUGGGGAAUCUUGCGCAAUGGGCGAAAGCCUGACGCAGCGACGCCGCGUGAGGGAUGACGGCCUGG
This 390-nucleotide ribosomal RNA is filed under the name uncultured bacterium. RNAcentral describes it as "bacterial SSU rRNA". It matches the Rfam family "Bacterial small subunit ribosomal RNA", at positions 28 to 419 of the family's 1533-position model. The record is from RNAcentral.